CCUACGGGAGGCAGCAGUGGGGGAUAUUGCACAAUGGGGGAAACCCUGAUGCAGCGACGCCGCGUGAGUGAUGAAGUAUUUCGGUAUGUAAAGCUCUAUCUGCCGGGAAGAAAAUGACAGUACCUGAACCAGAAGCCCCGGCUACCUACGUACCAGCAGCCGCGGUCAUACGUAGGGGGCCAGCGUUAUCCGGAUUUACUGGGUGGAAAGGGGGCGUAGACGGGUAUGUAAGACUGGAGUGAAAGCCCGGGGCCCAACCCCGGGACUGCUUUGGAAACUGUGUAACUGGAGUACAGGCGGGGCAGGCGGAAUUCCUGGUGUAGCGGUGAAAUGCGUAGAUAUCAGGAGGAACACCGGCGGCGAAGGCAGCCUGCUGGACUGAAACUGACGUUGAGGCUCGAAAGCGUGGGGAGCAAACAGGAUUAGAUACCCUAGUAGUC
This 440-nucleotide ribosomal RNA is filed under the name uncultured bacterium. Its description in RNAcentral is "partial 16S ribosomal RNA". It matches the Rfam family "Bacterial small subunit ribosomal RNA", at positions 338 to 795 of the family's 1533-position model. The record is from RNAcentral.